Molecule: ribosomal RNA, 301 nt
Filed under: uncultured bacterium
Lineage: Bacteria
Description: partial 16S ribosomal RNA
Rfam family: Bacterial small subunit ribosomal RNA
Source: RNAcentral
CAGCCGCCGCGGUAAUACGGAGGGUGCAAGCGUUAAUCGGAAUUACUGGGCGCAAAGCGCACGCAGGCGGUUUGUUAAGUCAGAUGUGAAAUCCCCGAGCUUAACUUGGGAACUGCAUUUGAAACUGGCAAGCUAGAGUCUUGUAGAGGGGGGUAGAAUUCCAGGUGUAGCGGUGAAAUGCGUAGAGACCUGGAGGAAUACCGGUGGCGAAGGCGGCCCCCUGGACAAAGACUGACGCUCAGAUGCGAAAGCGUGGGGAGCAAACAGGAUUAGAUACCCCGGUAGUCCCUGUCUCUUAUAC